Molecule: ribosomal RNA, 720 nt
Filed under: Acinetobacter sp. R-3(2010)
Lineage: Bacteria; Pseudomonadati; Pseudomonadota; Gammaproteobacteria; Moraxellales; Moraxellaceae
Description: bacterial SSU rRNA
Rfam family: Bacterial small subunit ribosomal RNA
Source: RNAcentral
GGUUUAGAGUCUCUAGAUGGAGUAUGAAAGUCGCACGCGAGGAGGAGGUUGCUUCGGUAACUGACCUAGCGGCGGACGGGUGAGUAAUGCUUAGGAAUCUGCCUAUUAGUGGGGGACAACAUUCCGAAAGGGAUGCUAAUACCGCAUACGCCCUACGGGGGAAAGCAGGGGAUCUUCGGACCUUGCGCUAAUAGAUGAGCCUAAGUCGGAUUAGCUAGUUGGUGGGGUAAAGGCCUACCAAGGCGACGAUCUGUAGCGGGUCUGAGAGGAUGAUCCGCCACACUGGGACUGAGACACGGCCCAGACUCCUACGGGAGGCAGCAGUGGGGAAUAUUGGACAAUGGGCGGAAGCCUGAUCCAGCCAUGCCGCGUGUGUGAAGAAGGCCUUUUGGUUGUAAAGCACUUUAAGCGAGGAGGAGGCUCUUAAGGUUAAUACCCUUGAUGAGUGGACGUUACUCGCAGAAUAAGCACCGGCUAACUCUGUGCCAGCAGCCGCGGUAAUACAGAGGGUGCGAGCGUUAAUCGGAUUUACUGGGCGUAAAGCGUGCGUAGGCGGCUGAUUAAGUCGGAUGUGAAAUCCCUGAGCUUAACUUAGGAAUUGCAUUCGAUACUGGUCAGCUAGAGUAUGGGAGAGGAUGGUAGAAUUCCAGGUGUAGCGGUGAAAUGCGUAGAGAUCUGGAGGAAUACCGAUGGCGAAGGCAGCCAUCUGGCCUAAUACUG